GUUCUUCCAGUAAAGGGUAACUAACUGGCCUCGGAGGAAAAGCGCACUGCAGCAGGAUGAGCAAGCCCGUGCCAGCCGGAACUGCCAGGGCUGCCCCACGGUGGCAACCUGCUCGCCACCACCUGUCCAGCCACCUGCCUGAGGAAGCCCUUCCAACAAGGAGGGCUCACCUCGGCAAGAAACCAUACGCAGUUUUCAAGAGGAACCAGAAAGGGAAAGCAAAGGGUGCAACUUUAUUCUUAGGGGAAUACAACAAAAAGGCAUGUGUCUCUCUGCACUGCAUCCCGAGCGGCUGGAGUUCUCCACGGAGAGAGAGUUCUGUGCCCAGCGGGGGUGAGGACCCCGCAGCAGGGUGGGCAGUGGAGGGUGAGCCUGACACAGGUGAGUACAGGAAGCUGCACCCGAUGCUCACACGUCCAGACCCCCAGGCCUCGGGGAGCACGCGCCUCCGGCCCCCGCAGCGGUCCCCGCAGCGGCCCCAGCAGCACGCCGGGCCUCGGUCUCCUCAGCGGCGGCGCCCACCUGCGCCCAGUCCCCGCGGCCCGGUCCCCGCGGUCCGUUAAGCCGCGGCGCGCUCGGCCCCGUAGCAGCGACCGCAGGACCUCGGGCCCGGUAGGGCCUGGGCGGCCGCUCGCACACGGUCACGGGCCUCCGCAGGGACCGCGGCGUGAGGGGCGCGCGCCCGGCCGACGCCGCGGGCUCACCUUCUGCCGGAUCUGGCCCGACGUGGACACCUUACGGAUAAGCUUCUGCGGGGAGCCCGGCUCAGCCUCGGGUUCGCUGUCGGACGACUCCUCAGGCGGCGGCGGCGGAG
This 814-nucleotide long non-coding RNA is filed under the name Mus pahari (shrew mouse). RNAcentral's name for it is "lncRNA (MGP_PahariEiJ_G0003619.1)". Lineage: Eukaryota; Metazoa; Chordata; Mammalia; Rodentia; Muridae. The record is from RNAcentral.